GAUGAACGCUGGCGGCGUGCCUAAUACAUGCAAGUCGAGCGAACGGACGAUAAGCUUGCUUCUCUGAUGUUAGCGGCGGACGGGUGAGUAACACGUGGAUAACCUACCUAUCUGCCUGGGAUAACUUCGUGAAACCGGAGCUAAUACCGGAUAAUAUUUUGAACUGCAUGGUUCAAAAGUGAAAGACGGUCUUGCUGUCACUUAUAGAUGGAUCCGCGUUGCAUUAGCUAGUUGGUAAGGUAACGGCUUACCAAGGAAACGAUGCAUAGCCGACCUGAGAGGGUGAUCGGCCACACUGGAACUGAAACACGGCCCAGACUCCUACGGGAGGCAGCAGUAGGGAAUCUUCCGCAAUGGGCGAAAGCCUGACGGAGCAACGCCGCGUGAGUGAUGAAGGUCUUCGGAUCGUAAAACUCUGUUAUUAGGGAAGAACAGAUGUGUAAGUAACUGUGCACAUCGUGACGGUACCUAAUCAGAAAGCCACGGCUAACUACGUG
Molecule: ribosomal RNA, 497 nt
Filed under: uncultured bacterium
Lineage: Bacteria
Description: partial 16S ribosomal RNA
Rfam family: Bacterial small subunit ribosomal RNA
Source: RNAcentral